AACGAGGUCCCAGUGUGAGGUAUAGUUCCUGCAUCAUCAUCAUGGCUGCCGCUGGCCAAGAAACUAACGUGAAAACACUUCCUCCUCGUUUUUACCAAGAUAGAAGCUAUCGCGACGGGUUUCUUGCAGCCGUAAGUGACUAACAGAAGGCCGAAGUUCUCCAGGAUGUGGUUCUUGAAGUCGAGGGCCGCCGGUUUCCCUGUCACCGGCUUGUUUUGUCCGCGGCCAGCCCCCAUUUCCGGGCGAUGUUUACAUCUGAUAUGGCGGAGAGUCGUCAGAAGACGGUUGUUUUGAAGGGUUUGGAUGCAGCCAUGUUUGGGGAGAUUCUGUGCUACAUCUACUCUGGAACCCUCCACGUGUCCCUGGACAGAGUGCAGCAUCUGUACCAGGCAGCCGACUGCAAGCAGACUUGUUGGGCAACGAAACCUUCUCUUCCCGGCAAAACUUCCUCGACCGAAUUUCCUGAAAUUUACAACAAAUAGAAUACUAUGCAACAAGGUUUAUAACGGCUAUCAUGAAAUACAAACUUCUAUUUGGGCUUCAAAAGCAAGCACUAAACAGUGUGUUUUUAUACUAAAUUCAAUAAUAAAAUGCAAAAUUUACACAA
Molecule: long non-coding RNA, 607 nt
Organism: Branchiostoma belcheri (Belcher's lancelet)
Lineage: Eukaryota; Metazoa; Chordata; Leptocardii; Amphioxiformes; Branchiostomatidae
Exons: 2
Source: RefSeq, a predicted model, not a curated record